GUAGGGGGCAAGCGUUAUCCGGAAUCACUGGGUGUAAAGGGAGCGUAGACGGCUGAGCAAGCCUGAAGUGAAAGGCGGGGGCCCAACCCCCCGGACUGCUUUGGGAACUGUACGGCUGGAGUGCAGGAGAGGUAAGUGGAAUUCCUAGUGUAGCGGUGAAAUGCGUAGAUAUUAGGAGGAACACCAGUGGCGAAGGCGGCUUACUGGACUGUAACUGACGUUGAGGCUCGAAAGCGUGGGGAGCAAA
RNAcentral lists this ribosomal RNA (247 nucleotides) under uncultured bacterium. RNAcentral's name for it is "partial 16S ribosomal RNA". It matches the Rfam family "Bacterial small subunit ribosomal RNA", at positions 527 to 772 of the family's 1533-position model. The record is from RNAcentral.